GGACCGGUGGCCUAGCAGGAUAGGGCGCAGGCCUCCUAAGCCUGAUGUCGCGCGUUCGAAUCGCGCCCGGUCCG
RNAcentral lists this transfer RNA (74 nucleotides) under Candidatus Jordarchaeia archaeon. Its description in RNAcentral is "tRNA-Arg". It matches the Rfam family "tRNA". Rfam says of the family: Transfer RNA (tRNA) molecules are approximately 80 nucleotides in length. Their secondary structure includes four short double-helical elements and three loops (D, anti-codon, and T loops). The record is from RNAcentral. Lineage: Archaea; Promethearchaeati; Candidatus Jordarchaeia.